Molecule: ribosomal RNA, 1427 nt
Filed under: Fusicatenibacter faecihominis
Lineage: Bacteria; Bacillati; Bacillota; Clostridia; Lachnospirales; Lachnospiraceae
Description: partial 23S ribosomal RNA
Rfam family: Bacterial large subunit ribosomal RNA
Source: RNAcentral
CAGAGUAGACCCGAAACCGGGUGAUCUACCCAUGUCCAGGCUGAAGUUGCCGUAAAAGGCAAUGGAGGGCCGAACGCACAUCCGUUGAAAAGGGUGGCGAUGAGGUGUGGGUAGGGGAGAAAUUCCAAUCGAACCCGGAGAUAGCUGGUUCUCCUCGAAAUAGCUUUAGGGCUAGCCUCGACAGAGUCUGAUGGAGGUAGAGCACUGAAUUUCCUAGGGGGCGUCAAAGUCUACCGAAGAAUAUCAAACUCCGAAUGCCAUCAAGAUGCUUGUCGGGAGUCAGACUGCACGAGAUAAGUUGGGUAGUCAAAAGGGAAAGAGCCCAGACCUCCAGCUAAGGUCCCAAAGUGCGUGUUAAGUGGAAAAGGAUGUGGGAUUUCAAAGACAACCAGGAUGUUGGCUCAGAAGCAGCCAUACAUUCAAAGAGUGCGUAAUAGCUCACUGGUCGAGAGGUCCUGCGCCGAAAAUGUCCGGGGCUGAAACACGACACCGAAGCUGAGGAAUUUAACGUCUGUUGAAUUGGUAGAGGAGCAUUGCAUACGCGAGGAAGCAGUACCGUAAGGAGCUGUGGAGUGUAUGGAAGAGAGAAUGCCGGAAUGAGUAGCGAGAUGGAGGUGGGAAUCCUCCAGGCCGAAUAUCCAAGGUUUCCAGAGUAAAGCUGAUCUGCUCUGGGUAAGUCGGGACCUAAGGCGAGGCCGAGAGGCGUAGCCGAUGGACAACAGGUUGAGAUUCCUGUACUGCUGUAUAUCAGAACUGUGGGGACACAGAGGGAAAGCACAGGCGCGGAACGGAAAGCCGCGUGCAAGCGAGGUACCGGACUGGUAGGAAAAACCGCCAGCCAACGGGAAGACGUGAUGCGGACCGAAAUUUAGUAGGGAAGUGUGUGAGCCAGCUGUCAAGAAAAGCCGCUAUUGUGUAUACAGUACCCGUACCGUAAACCGACACAGGUGGAUGAGGAGAGAAUCCUAAGGCCGGCGGAAGAAGUAUUGUCAAGGAACUCGGCAAAAUGACCCUGUAACUUCGGGAGAAAGGGUGCCUCGAAAGAGGCCGCAGAGAAUUGGCCCAAGCAACUGUUUAGCAAAAACACAGGUCUAUGCGAAACCGAAAGGUGAGGUAUAUGGGCUGACGCCUGCCCGGUGCUGGAAGGUUAAGGGGAGAUGUUAGAGCAAUCGAAGCAUCGAACUUAAGCCCCAGUAAACGGCGGCCGUAACUAUAACGGUCCUAAGGUAGCGAAAUUCCUUGUCGGGUAAGUUCCGACCCGCACGAAAGGCGUAAUGAUUUGGGCGCUGUCUCGACAAUACAUCCGGUGAAAUUGAAGUACCAGUGAAGAUGCUGGUUACCCGCGCCAGGACGGAAAGACCCCAUGGAGCUUUACUCCAGCUUGAUACUGGGAUUCGGUAUUGCAUGUACAGGAUAGGUGGGAGGCU